CGCAAAAGUGGCGGCGUGCUAAUACAUGCAAGUCGAGCGAGCUGAACCAACAGAUUCACUUCGGUGAUGACGUUGGGAACGCGAGCGGCGGAUGGGUGAGUAACACGUGGGGAACCUGCCCCAUAGUCUGGGAUACCACUUGGAAACAGGUGCUAAUACCGGAUAAGAAAGCAGAUCGCAUGAUCAGCUUAUAAAAGGCGGCGUAAGCUGUCGCUAUGGGAUGGCCCCGCGGUGCAUUAGCUAGUUGGUAGGGUAACGGCCUACCAAGGCAAUGAUGCAUAGCCGAGUUGAGAGACUGAUCGGCCACAUUGGGACUGAGACACGGCCCAAACUCCUACGGGAGGCAGCAGUAGGGAAUCUUCCACAAUGGACGAAAGUCUGAUGGAGCAACGCCGCGUGAGUGAAGAAGGUUUUCGGAUCGUAAAGCUCUGUUGUUGGUGAAGAAGGAUAGAGGUAGUAACUGGCCUUUAUUUGACGGUAAUCAACCAGAAAGUCACGGCUAACUACGUGCCAGCAGCCGCGGUAAUACGUAGGUGGCAAGCGUUGUCCGGAUUUAUUGGGCGUAAAGCGAGCGCAGGCGGAAGAAUAAGUCUGAUGUGAAAGCCCUCGGCUUAACCGAGGAACUGCAUCGGAAACUGUUUUUCUUGAGUGCAGAAGAGGAGAGUGGAACUCCAUGUGUAGCGGUGGAAUGCGUAGAUAUAUGGAAGAACACCAGUGGCGAAGGCGGCUCUCUGGUCUGCAACUGACGCUGAGGCUCGAAAGCAUGGGUAGCGAACAGGAUUAGAUACCCUGGUAGUCCAUGCCGUAAACGAUGAGUGCUAAGUGUUGGGAGGUUUCCGCCUCUCAGUGCUGCAGCUAACGCAUUAAGCACUCCGCCUGGGGAGUACGACCGCAAGGUUGAAACUCAAAGGGAAUUGAC
RNAcentral lists this ribosomal RNA (919 nucleotides) under Lactobacillus acidophilus. Its description in RNAcentral is "bacterial SSU rRNA". It matches the Rfam family "Bacterial small subunit ribosomal RNA", at positions 28 to 914 of the family's 1533-position model. The record is from RNAcentral. Lineage: Bacteria; Bacillati; Bacillota; Bacilli; Lactobacillales; Lactobacillaceae.